AGGAUCAGAGCCGGUGCUAGGAUUUUUGCCAUCCUAGGCAAAAGAAAAAAUUUGCCGACCCCCCCCCAUGUGACAUCACAAUGCCCCACCCAUAUGAUCUGCCAUAUGAACUAACGCCAGUGCUGCACGCAGUGUGUGUUUACAUUAAAAAGCCUGCAGGGACCGGCUAUAGACACCAGAACCACUCCAUUAAGCUGAAGUGGUUCUGUGGACUAUAG
Molecule: non-coding RNA, 218 nt
Organism: Pelobates cultripes (western spadefoot toad)
Lineage: Eukaryota; Metazoa; Chordata; Amphibia; Anura; Pelobatidae
Source: the annotation of a GenBank genome assembly